AUUGAACGCUGGCGGCAGGCCUAACACAUGCAAGUCGAGCGAGUGGCGGACGGGUGAGUAAUGUAUGGGAAACUGCCCGAUGGAGGGGGAUAACUACUGGAAACGGUAGCUAAUACCGCAUACCAUCAGAUGUACCCAGAUGGGAUUAGCUAGUGGGUGGGGUAACGGCUCACCAAGGCGACGAUCCCUAGCUGGUCUGAGAGGAUGACCAGCCACACUGGGACUGGGACACGGUCCAGACUCCUACGGGAGGCAGCAGUGGGGAAUAUUGCACAAUGGGCGCAAGCCUGAUGCAGCCAUGCCGCGUGUAUGAAGAAGGCCUUCGGGUUGUAAAGUACUUUCAGCGGGGAGGCGUUACCCGCAGAAGAAGCACCGGCUAACUCCGUGCCAGCAGCCGCGGUAAUUC
This 406-nucleotide ribosomal RNA is filed under the name uncultured bacterium. RNAcentral describes it as "partial 16S ribosomal RNA". It matches the Rfam family "Bacterial small subunit ribosomal RNA", at positions 30 to 526 of the family's 1533-position model. The record is from RNAcentral.